GGGCCCGCACAAGCGGUGGAGCAUGUGGUUUAAUUCGAUGCAACGCGAAGAACCUUACCUACUCUUGACAUCCAGAGAAGCCAGUAGAGAUACAGGUGUGCCUUCGGGAGCUCUGAGACAGGUGCUGCAUGGCUGUCGUCAGCUCGUGUUGUGAAAUGUUGGGUUAAGUCCCGCAACGAGCGCAACCCUUAUCCUUGUUUGCCAGCGAGUAAUGUCGGGAACUCCAGGGAGACUGCCGGUGAUAAACCGGAGGAAGGUGGGGACGACGUCAAGUCAUCAUGGCCCUUACGAGUAGGGCUACACACGUGCUACAAUGGCGCAUACAGAGGCGGCCAACUUGCGAAAGUGAGCGAAUCCCAAAAAGUGCGUCGUAGUCCGGAUUGGAGUCUGCAACUCGACUCCAUGAAGUCGGAAUCGCUAGUAAUCGUGGAUC
This 433-nucleotide ribosomal RNA is filed under the name uncultured bacterium. Its description in RNAcentral is "bacterial SSU rRNA". It matches the Rfam family "Bacterial small subunit ribosomal RNA", at positions 917 to 1350 of the family's 1533-position model. The record is from RNAcentral.